Molecule: ribosomal RNA, 581 nt
Filed under: uncultured Sediminibacterium sp.
Lineage: Bacteria; Pseudomonadati; Bacteroidota; Chitinophagia; Chitinophagales; Chitinophagaceae
Description: bacterial SSU rRNA
Rfam family: Bacterial small subunit ribosomal RNA
Source: RNAcentral
UACUCCUACGGGAGGCAGCAGUAAGGAAUAUUGGUCAAUGGACGAAAGUCUGAACCAGCCAUGCCGCGUGAAGGAUUAAGGUCCUCUGGAUUGUAAACUUCUUUUAUCUGGGACGAAAAAAGGCGAUUCUUCGUCACUUGACGGUACCAGAUGAAUAAGCACCGGCUAACUCCGUGCCAGCAGCCGCGGUAAUACGGAGGGUGCAAGCGUUAUCCGGAUUCACUGGGUUUAAAGGGUGCGUAGGCGGGCAGGUAAGUCAGUGGUGAAAUCCUAGAGCUUAACUCUAGAACUGCCAUUGAUACUAUCUGUCUUGAAUAUUGUGGAGGUAAGCGGAAUAUGUCAUGUAGCGGUGAAAUGCUUAGAUAUGACAUAGAACACCUAUUGCGAAGGCAGCUUACUACGCAUAUAUUGACGCUGAGGCACGAAAGCGUGGGGAUCAAACAGGAUUAGAUACCCUGGUAGUCCACGCCCUAAACGAUGAUUACUCGACAUUUGUGAUACACUAUAAGUGUCUGAGCGAAAGCAUUAAGUAAUCCACCUGGGAAGUACGACCGCAAGGUUGAAACUCAAAGGAAUGACGG